GACGAACGCUGGUGGCGUGCUUAACACAUGCAAGUCGAGCGGUAAGGCCCUUUCGGGGGUACACGAGCGGCGAACGGGUGAGUAACACGUGGGUGACCUGCCCUUAGCUCUGGGAUAAGCCUGGGAAACUGGGUCUAAUACCGGAUAUGACUCCAUGACGCAUGUUGUGGGGUGGAAAGCCUUGUGCGGCUAGGGAUGGGCCCGCGGCCUAUCAGCUUGUUGGUGGGGUGAUGGCCUACCAAGGCGACGACGGGUAGCCGGCCUGAGAGGGCGACCGGCCACACUGGGACUGAGACACGGCCCAGACUCCUACGGGAGGCAGCAGUGGGGAAUCUUGCGCAAUGGGCGAAAGCCUGACGCAGCGACGCCGCGUGGGGAUGACGGCCUC
RNAcentral lists this ribosomal RNA (388 nucleotides) under uncultured bacterium. Its description in RNAcentral is "bacterial SSU rRNA". It matches the Rfam family "Bacterial small subunit ribosomal RNA", at positions 28 to 418 of the family's 1533-position model. The record is from RNAcentral.